GACGGAGGUCCCGAGCGUUGUGCGGAAUUAUUGGGCUUAAAGCGCGUGUAGGCGGAACGGUAAGUACCUUGUGAAAUCCCCGGACUCAAUCCGGGAACUGCUCGGUAUACUGCCGAUCUUGAGGCAGGUAGGGGUCACUGGAACCUUAGGUGGAGCGGUGAAAUGCGUAGAUAUCUAAGGGAACGCCUGUGGCGAAAGCGGGUGACUGGGCCUGUCCUGACGCUGAGACGCGAAAGCGUAGGGAGCAAACGGG
This 253-nucleotide ribosomal RNA is filed under the name uncultured bacterium. RNAcentral describes it as "partial 16S ribosomal RNA". It matches the Rfam family "Bacterial small subunit ribosomal RNA", at positions 524 to 776 of the family's 1533-position model. The record is from RNAcentral.